CGGCUCGGUCACCUACUCUGGAGGGAAAUGUUUUUCACACAUUGAGUUUAGAAAUCGCCUGAUGAAGGUACUCCUUGUAUCCGAAACGUCGCGAAUUAGUUUCUUUAAAAUAAAGAAACCUAUCUCUAUUGACCAUCUCGCCUUUUUUCUGAGUUUUUGAACAUCAUGCUAGCUUAGCAUAACUAGCCUACUACCAUGAGCGGCCAUCGAGGGUAACACUCCUGGCCGACGAUCCAGCAUGGAAGGUUCCGUACGGGUUACCGGAACCCUACCCUCCCACCGAUGAGCCAACGUGAUGUCCACCUGCCGCAGUCCCAACCCCACCGCAUGGAACGCAACUGCCCGACGGCGACGGGGAGCUACCGCCGCGGCCGGCUAGCACGUGGUGAUGGACGCCACCACGGCCUCUGGUACCGGAGCUCCGCCCGGACCUCCAGCUGCGUUCGGGCCUGGCGCGGCCGGUCGAUCAUCAGAUGCGGGCGGCCAUCUGAUGUACACGGCCCUUCCCUUGCCUCCACACACCCUACGCAAGUCAACAGAGUACCCGAUUUGCGGGAAGUUCAUGAACCACCUGAGGCCACACCUGACGGGAUAUCACCAAGUGAGGAACGUGGAGGAGACAAUUCUGCUUGUCAGCUGGUCCAGUGGACGGGUUACAGGUAAACUGAACUGCCGUGUUUGUGACAAGGUGGGCCUGUCCCGCCUGGACAGACACCUGGCGGACCUCCACCAACAAAACAACAUGCUACCUUUAUUGAUCCACAUAGGAAAUAUCCAUGACGCAGCAGAACACAAUGGACAUCAAUAAAAGAUCUUUAAUGUACAAAUAUAAAAACAGUGAAAUAAGAAAUAGACAUAGAAUGAAAACUUUUGUUAUACAUCUGGAACUGUCUCCACAUUGUGUUUACAAUUGCCUUAUAAUUGAUUCAAUAUUUGUAUUCAUUAAAAUAAACUUGCAGGAGGUCGAUGAGCUGAUGCUACUCUGCAAGCAGCAGCUUAUUGUGGUGAAGCUUCGGGAGCUGAGGGCAACAAGCCCAACUUUCCCCUGGAGUUAGCAGUCCGUCAGCUGCAGGCCACGCUGUCCCUGCAGCAUGAUAGCAGCAUGAUAGCAGCACUGCUACUCCACAGGCCACCUCUUGUGAUGGAAAAUCUACAUGUUAUUGUUUUGGUCCAUAUGAAUUUAAGUUUUGUUGCUAUUCUGUGUAAUUUUAUAUAGUGUCUGCCUUCUGCUCUCCUUUUGGGUCAUUUAAAGUAACGUUCGAGAGUCGUGUGAUGCAUUUUAUUGCCUGCCUGUUCCUAUCUUUUCGUGUGUCAUCUCCCAAGCAAUGCUUUGAAGUAUGGGCCUGUUCUUUGACACUCUGGCUAGUGUAAACAAAGUCAGAGGGUUACAUGGCACGGCCGCCGACCCCACCUUAGCCUCGGGGGGGGGGGGGGGCUUCAACUGUAAAGAUAACAAUCUGGUGAACAAAGACUUUUAGUAUUGGGGGACCACCCCCUUCAGGACACAACCGAAGUGAAUAAGAACUCAUUGAUUCGAACACUCAGGGGACUUGUCUGAGCGUACCUUCAGAGAAUGAAGCAACACGCAAAGAGGAGCUCCCAUCUGAGGCCUCAGAUUAUUGUAAUGUAUGCCUGUUAUGUUGUUUGUUGAUGCAUGUUGUGAUGUAUCUUUGUUCGUUACUUUUAUUACAAAUAUAUAUACCACUAAUUGUCAACAGUAUUGUGUGCUUUUUGCAUCUAAAUAUCUCAUCUGCUUAGACGCAAUAUCUGAUACAGAAAUUGCCACGACACUCUUCAGCCGCCCUUGCCAGCCCCAGUCCUGGAAUAACACAUAUCCUUGACAGGGAGACCCCGUCACCUAGGUCACCUGCAUCACCCGCCUCACCGCAAGGGUAUACGUGGGACGAGUACCUGAACACUGGGCCGACAGUGGCACAGAGUACACAGCCCCAACCCUCCGUACCGUUUUCCCAUUUAUUCUUCUUGGAAGAGGACCUCCACAGUUUGUCACCCACAUACACGGAGCAUUUAAGGCAUGUCUAAAUUGUCCAAUGUUGCCUUUUUAACAAAAUAAGGAGUUUCAAGGAGCCAGGAGAUGGUUGUUGUUCUGAGAGAUAUUGGCUAAUAUCUCUAAGAUAUUGGCUAAAUGUUCCAAUGUUACAG
RNAcentral lists this long non-coding RNA (2163 nucleotides) under Gadus morhua (Atlantic cod). RNAcentral's name for it is "lncRNA (ENSGMOG00000034728.1)". The record is from RNAcentral. Lineage: Eukaryota; Metazoa; Chordata; Actinopteri; Gadiformes; Gadidae.